Molecule: non-coding RNA, 80 nt
Organism: Macrolepiota fuliginosa MF-IS2
Lineage: Eukaryota; Fungi; Basidiomycota; Agaricomycetes; Agaricales; Agaricaceae
Source: the annotation of a GenBank genome assembly
GGCUCUGUAGUGUAGUGGUUAUCACCCAAGAUUCUGAUUCUUGAUUUCUUGAAACCCAGGUUCGAAUCCUGGCAGGGCCU